Heterocephalus glaber (naked mole-rat) is the source of this 442-nucleotide long non-coding RNA. The record is from Ensembl. Lineage: Eukaryota; Metazoa; Chordata; Mammalia; Rodentia; Bathyergidae.
CUCCUGCCUCAGCCUUCCAGAGUGCUGGACUUACAGGCCUGCACCACCAGGCCCAAUUUACAAUUUCUUUUUCUUUCUUUUUUCUUCUUUUCCAAUUUCCUUUUUAUAUUUCAUUUUUCAGUUUCCAGUGCUGAGGGUUGAACCCAGGCCCUUGACCAUGCUAGCACCAUGUGUCACACGGAGGGAUCAUGGUUUAUUCAGGGGCUCAUCGGCUGAUGGACAUUGUGCUGUUUCUACCUUAUUGUGUGAAGGUGGUGUAUUUUGUUUUUGCCCUUCAUUAGGUCCCUGUGGAAAUGAUUCUCAGGGGUGACAGUGACACUCGUAUUCAAUGCCAAUUUAAAAAGGAUAAUCAGUGUCCUGAUCUCAGAGGCAAAAAUGUGUGAUUACACAAGCAACACACACGGAAGGCCCAGAGCAAUGCCUGGCACAGGGCUAGGCACCG